Molecule: long non-coding RNA, 431 nt
Organism: Beta vulgaris subsp. vulgaris (sugar beet)
Lineage: Eukaryota; Viridiplantae; Streptophyta; Magnoliopsida; Caryophyllales; Amaranthaceae
Exons: 3
Source: RefSeq, a predicted model, not a curated record
CACUUCGAUUCUUUGCGUAAAGAAACAAUACGGUCCUUACUAGUCAGAUCAUUGUUAAAUAGGUAUCCUAAUCGAAACUCAAUAUAUGCACACUUAUUAAUAUUAAAUGUACAUCUAAUCUUAUAAUAAUGUAUUGAUGUAGUGUGACGAAGGGGGUUAUUGCAUCUGGACUUCGACAAGCAAAACCUCCUGUUUGGCAUUUAGUCGAGUGUCCGGUACAAGUAGGUGGACGUGCGUGUGGGUAUUACGUCAUGAGGUUCAUGAUCGAUAUCGUCAACCGUUGCAAAGAUGUUGGUGAUCUUCGAAAUGUUUAUGCGAAUUCCACACCACGUUUGAGGAACUUCACCAAAGAAGAAAUUGAUGAAGUUCGGGAUAAGUUGGCGUCCCACAUUACCGAUGAUUUCAUAACAUGACAUUUUAGCUCGAAUGUA